This 2748-nucleotide ribosomal RNA is filed under the name Candidatus Kaiserbacteria bacterium CG10_big_fil_rev_8_21_14_0_10_56_12. RNAcentral's name for it is "bacterial LSU rRNA". It matches the Rfam family "Bacterial large subunit ribosomal RNA", at positions 134 to 2486 of the family's 2925-position model. Lineage: Bacteria; Candidatus Kaiseribacteriota. The record is from RNAcentral.
GAGCUUGAACUCAGAUCCGCGGAGUAACGUCUGCGUGAAGCGAACCCGGGGAAGUGAAACAUCUCAGUACCCGGAGGAAAAGAGAACAACAGGAGUUGCGUUCUCUUCAAGCGUAUGUUCGUUUGAAGGGAACGCGACUCUCGUGAUACCCCGAGUAGCGGCGAGCGAAAAGGGAAAAGCCCAAACCCUACUUCGCUCAUUGCUGCGCAGAUGAGCUACGAAGGGCAGGCCUAUCUACACAAGAUGGGCUGUGCCCGACGAAGCUCGCUGGGCGGUAGCGAGCGAAGUAGGGGGUUGUAAGAUGCGAGCGUCAUACUUGUAUGAAAAGAGUUACAAAUUGUCUGUAUAGCCGAAGCUGCUGGGAAGCAGCGCCACAGAGGGUAAUGGCCCCGUAGGCGAAAUACACGACAACUCUUGCUUGUAUUCUUGAGUAGCUCGAGACACGAAUAGCUCGAGUGAAUCUGCCGGAACUAACCGGUAAGGCUAAAUACAUCCUAUGACCGAUAGCGAACUAGUACCGUGAGGGAAAGGUGAAAAGAACCCCGAGAGGGGAGUGAAAUAGAACUGAAACCGUGUACUUACAAGGGGUCGGAGCGGGCAUUUAUGUCCGUCACGGCAUGCCUAUUGAAGAAUGAGCCGGCGAGUGUGUAUAUCUUGCGUAGCUAAGCCCUUACGGGGCGGAGCUUUAGGGAAACCGAGUGUGAAUAGCACGUUGGUAGGAUAUAUACGACCCGAAGCCAGGUGAGCUUGCCAUGAGCAGGGUGAAGUUUGUCGAAAGACAGAUGGAGGCCCGAACCCGUAGGUCGUACAACGCCUUGGGAUGACUUGUGGUAAGGAGUGAAAAGCUAAUCGAACCUGGGAAUAGCUGGUUCUCUCCGAAACAGCUUUUGGGCUGGCGUCGCCAUAUGUGUGCGUGGGGGUAGAGCACUGGAAGGGAUCAACAGGGAGCAAUCUCGUGAUUCCUAUCAAACUCCGAAUACCACGUACUCGGGCGGCAGUUAGAAGGUGGGGGCGAAGCUCCAUCGAUCGAGAGGGGAAGAGCCCAGAUCGCCACUUAAGGCCCCUAAAUCGACGUUCAGUACAUCACAAGGAAGUGAGGACUCAUUGACAGUGAGGAGGUUGGCUUAGAAGCAGCCACCCUUUAAAGAAAGCGUAACAGCUCACUCAUCGAGAGUCCUUGCGCCGAAGAUGAUCGGGGUUAAACGUCGUGCCGAAAUUGCGGGCUUGUGCGCUUCAUUGAGGAAAUGUUCUUUAAGGUUUGUCUGGGAGCAUAGCUCAGAGGUAGAGCAAUGGAUUCUUAAUCCGUGGUCGAAGGUUCAAAUCCUUCUCUCCCAGCCAAUCUAAAAAAAGUUUGUUGGCUGGUAGCUCAGCAGGCAGAGCGGUGGGAUUUAGCCCCCACCUGCGCGGGUUCGAGUCCCGCCCGGUCCACCAAACUUUUUCGGGCAAGUCCGAUCAGACUUGCCUCCUCAAUGAAGUGCAUAAGCGGUAGGAGAGCGUUCUGUUCGCGCUGAAGCUAAAGGGGGAACCCAUGGUGGAGCGUACAGAAGUGAGAAUGCCGGUACAAGUAACCACAAUGCGGGUGAGAACCCCGCACAUCGAAAGACCGAGGUUUCCUCAGCUAUGGUGAUCAACUGAGGGUUAGUCGGGCCUAAGGGGAUGGCGAGAGCCGCACCCGAUGGACACAGGGUUAAUAUUCCCUGACCGCGAUAUGGGCGAUGGAGUGACGAACUGCUGUAUGCGCUGCCGGUUAUUGGAUUCCGGUUGCUUGCAUGAGGGCGCGCGUUAGGUAAAUCCGGCGCGCACUAGCCCGAGUGAGGGCGCAAUUUCCUCCCACGGGGGGAGAGAGAGUGCAAAGCGCGGUUCCGAGAAAAACUUCUAAGCUUAACCAUAUUUGCGACCGUACCGCAAACCGACACAGGUGGUCAGCUCGAGUAGAGUAAGAUGAACGAGUAAGAGGUCCUCAAGGAACUCGGCAAAAAAGCGGCCGUAAGUUAGCGAUAAGGCCUGCCCCUCAUUCGCAAGAGUGAGGGGCCGCAGUGAAAGUUUUCCUGGCAACUGUUUACCAAAAACACAGCUCCCUGCAAACUCGUAAGAGGAAGUAUAGGGGGUGACACCUGACCAAUGCCGGAAGGUCAACCACGGUGGGUAUCGUACUUCGGUAUGAUGCUGAACUGUGUAAGCCCCGGUGAAUGUCGGCGAUAACUAUAAUCGUCCUAAGGUAGCGUAAUUCCUUGUCGGGUAAGUUCCGACGUGCACGAAUGGUGUAAUGACUGGGAAACUGUCUCGAGGACUCGCUCGGUGAAAAUGCAAUUCCGGUGAAGAUGCCGGAUACCUGUAGUUAGACGAAAAGACCCCAGGAGCUUUACUACAACUUCGUAUUGGCCCUGCGGGAUUCAUGCGUAGCAUAGUGGGGAGGAUUUGAAGCGUCGCUUUCGGGUGGCGUGGAUCCGUCAGUGAAAUACCCAUCUUGAAUUUUGCAGUGUCUAACCUAUGUGGGAUCCACAUGGGGACCGUGCGUGGCAGGUAGUUUUGGUGGGGCGCUAUCCUCCUAAAAAGUAACGGAGGAGUCUAUUAAGGUUCUCUAGCCGCGAAUGGAAACCGUGGCGAUAGUGUAAUGGCACAAGAGAGCUUAACUGCGAGGGGGACAUCCCAAGCAGAUGCGAAAGCAGAGCAUAGUGAACCGAUGGUACGCCUUAGAUGCGGCCAGAGAUUAACGGAUAUAAGUUACCCUGGGGAUAACAGGCUAGU